GCGAACCGCAUGUCUUCGCUCCACAUCGCUCUCGAGCAAACGAUUCCUUGAGAAACUUUUCAGUGUGCCAAAUUCAAAUUUAAAUAAAAAGGAAGUCAAAAGAACUCAAUUCCAAAAUUGAAAAUGGAACUCUAUGACGUCAUGUGAACGCAACUAAGUUUACAAAGUGGAUGUAUGAAAACGAUGGUUGUUAAUUAGCGAAGUGAAAUGAAAAGUGAACGGAAAUAUAUCUGUGUGUUAUGAAAAUUUGGGUUUCCACAAUGACUGUCUUGCUUGUUUUUGGACUUUUUGUGGUGAUAGCCACGGCCCACAACAUCACCAACCUCGAAGUCCCCCAAUACGGGGACCCCCGGAAGGAAGCCCGGCUGGAGUGCCACUACGUCAACGAGAGGGGGGACCCCCCUCUGCACUCCGUCAAGUGGUACCGAGACAAUAACGAGAUAUUCCGGUUUACUCCGGAUCAGCAGCCACCAAUCCGCACGUUCAACACGACAACCGGGGGUACCACCAAGGGAUCCUGCACCAUGCACAACUGUACCAUCACUGUGGCUCUCUCCCAGAAGUACAACACGAGGAUAGGCUUCACCUGUGAAGUCUCCACUGAAGGUCCGCGGUUUGCCGUUGUCAAACUCACCAAGUAUCUGACUGUUGCAGUGGCGUUGAAAAAGGACCCAGUGAUCACAGGAGCACCAGCCACGGUACAGAUGAAUGAAGACGUAAUAGUCAACUGCUCCACCGACUACGCUUUCCCACCGGCUAACCUCAUGUGGUACAUCGAUGGGAAACCAGAGAAGAUCGAACCAUGGAUGUCGGACAACACGGAGACGUCAGCGCCCGACGUGGACGGACUCCGAGCGAGUCACAGGGCGCUGCGGCUGAAGAUAGCCACGCCGAGGCCCUAUGUGGACCUCCGGUGCGAGGCCACGCAGCCUGUCAAGCCCCCCCACACGAGGUCCUCAAGCGUGACGAUCUAUGUAGCGCGCUCGCCAGCCAUCUCUAUGUUUACUUCUGCUUCUGGUUCAAUGUUACCAGAAGCGAAAAUCCUAUUGCUAGUAACAUGUAUGUUAUUACAUAUAUUUUCUAAAUACAGUGCCUUGAGAGAAGUGUAGCCGGUUCGAAGCCGGGGUGUGGAAAGUUAGGUUUAGCUAGUAAAGAUUCCACAUUCAGUGCUUACACACUUGGAAAUCGUGAUUUGGUUUAUAUAUAUACACUUUAUUGCACUUAACAACUAGAUACAUCACAAACAAGAAAUGGACGUUUACAAGGGUGGACUUAUCUCUAAGAGAGAUCUGUUCCAGCCAACCCAGAGGUAGUAUUAGAAUGACUGCGGAAGAAUAAAAAGAGGUGCAAUAUAUGAAAUACAUUAUAAUAAUUAUUAUAAUAUUGUCGAACAUAGAAUCUUGUUCUUUUUUCAAGUCGGUUAAAAAUUGUAGAUAUCAUGUCCCACGUUUAUCACCCUACCCAUAACAUACAGGAUGUGAGUGACGUACGUAACGAAAACUUUGAAGGAUGAUUCAGACCAUGAUUCUGAGUAGAAUUUUCCGUCGCAAAAGUAUGGAACUGAAAAUAAUUAAAAAAAACAUGGUCAUGGUCUGAAUCAUCCCCCUCAGUAUUCGAUGUCACUAACACCCUGUAUAAACAAUGAAGUUGUAAACAUGUGACAGCCAAACAAAGUUCAAUGUGGGAGUUUCCAAUCGACGUUAUCCAAACACACGAUAGAUGGCGUUGUUUGAGCUAGACAACUAAUUUGCCUAAUAGCUUUCGAUGCCAAUAAAUACGAGUACAAUCAUCUGAAUUGAAAUCGGUCUUGCAGAUAUUUUAAAUCUUUUUUCAAUAUCAGUGAAGAAAUUCAAUGUAUUAAUCGGAUCCAGUUUUUAUGUAACAAAGAGAUUUCCAAUUAAUUUGAAAAUGCUUUCAAAAAAGUGUGUAAGCACCAAUAUUUGUUGCUUUAUCCAUGGAACUAAUUGUUCAGGAUCAUACUUAUAUAUAAGCUCAUGCCUUUAAUGGAGAAGACAAGAGUCCCAAGUAAUUAAAAGGCAACUCGCAGCCGAUGUUGAGGCGAAGUUUUGAGUUAGAAUAUGUGCAAAGUGACAUUCUGCAUUCCACCGCCUAUUAUAAUUUCCAUCGCGUUAAAAAUAACUCCCCUCUAUAACUUACUAUAAAAAUAAUACUAACUUACCUUUGUUUUACGUGAUUUAUUGUACCGGACAAAUGGGCGCCUCCGUGGCCCAGUAAUUGAGCGUUGAGCUCACGAUCCCGAGGCCCCGGGUUCGAAUCCCGGUAGUUUGGUUAGGAUGUUACAGGCUGAUCGCCUGAUUGUCCGAAAGUAAGAUGAUCCGUACUUAGGAAGGCAUGUUAAGCCGUUGGUCUCGGUUAAUACUUACUGAUGUAGGUAUGUAGUCGUUACAUGAGCCAUGUCAGGGGCCUUUGGCGGGUCAGUAGUAACCCUGACACCAGGGUUGAUGAGGUUGGUAUUCCACGUCACAACCCACACGAUAAGAAGAGAAGACCCAUUCUUCUCUUCUUCUUAUUAAGAAGAAGAAGAAGAAUGGGGAGCGCUGCGGGCUCUUACCCGGUACAAAAUUUGAGAGAACAGGCCUGAGGGUGACAGUUAGGCGCGAACCUAAUCUCAGGGCGUCGUCUGAAGGAGUCAUAUUAUGUGAAAGAAUUAAUCGACGCUAGUGGAUCGAUAGCGGUAAGCGAAUGAGGGAAAUCGUCGAGCACGCUAACUUAUCAACAACACGAAUUGUGGUAUUAAUUUUUACUUGGAUCAAAAUUAAUUGUAAGAAAUCGAAGUUUGAUUGAAGCAAAUUACAUCAGAAUAUGAUUUACCAAAAAUGUUAAACACAUUUAAAUCACUUGGUUUCCAUUAUAAGGCGACGAAAUACUGACACGAUAAUCCCGAACUAAAUUGGUACUUGGUGCUGUUAAUUCAAAAGGCACUAGAUAAUAUUAUUUUGAUACAAAUACGAAUUUCCCUUUUCCCGUAUUCAUAGCUUUUUCGUCCAAUGAGCAAUUCCAUUCGCUAGCUCGCAUUCAGAAUUUUGCGGUUCAGGGGUUUUAAACAGCGCAUUUAAAUUGUAGUGCAUUUGGGGCCGGUCUUCCGUGCUACGUAAAGUAUAUACGUAGUAUCCUAGUCUUGUAUCUCGUGCUACUUGUAAAUAGCCAAUUUGUUUUCCAAGAACAAAUAGGACUUUUGAACACACUGGCUUUUAGCUAAGGAUUUUGCUUUGAGAAAUCUUCCGUUUAUAUUUACGGAUACAAUUUACACUUGUAAUUCUUAUCAAAGUGAACACAUCCAGAAUUGAUUAUACGGCCUUACCGAGACGCCAUGGCCACGUCGCCGGCGAUGGUCGCCAAAUAAUUCACAUUUAAAUGUGCGGCAGGUAAAUUACUUGGCGAUUUUGGUGACGCUUUGUCAACGAAGCCAUGCGAGCAUUAUUAAAAAAAAAAUGUUUGGCGAUGUUGCCGGCGACGUGGCGCGCAAGUUUCUUUGACGUGAGUUAUUGUAGAUUUGCCGUAGAUGUCAUUAACUACUUUGCCGGAAACCGCGAAAGUGUUUAAUGUCACAUGCAUAGUGCUUCAGUAAAUAGCGAGAGACAAAUAAACCGGAUUAUAAUGUUUGCCCCCGCGACAUAUUUCAAUCUUUUUUAAAACAUGCCCAAAAUGUCAGAGCUCAAUGAACUUUAGUUUAUACACUUGCUACACAAAGAGCGCGACAAUUGGGCAAAGUAUUUUGUAUGGAAUUGAAAACAAAACCACGGGCUCUGGCCCGCUAGAACACCCCAGACACUCCAUACAAAAAACAUAUUCUUACCACGUGCUAUCUUACCACGAGCGAGACAGACAGUCCGCACGAGCUCUCCCUUACUCCUCAGCAUCUUGCGGCAAUUUAGACUAAAUACCAAAGGGCGUGAGGUGAAUCCAGCUCGGCGCCGAUUCGAUGCGGGGCGCAGAGUUACCGUCCUACACGCAGUAAACAUUCUUUACUCCAUGUCACUGGUCGGCGUUGCCAGUUCUGUGUGCAUCAGGGUUUACUUUUGCAGUGGGUAUAUCCCAUAACAGAAAGUCUACAGUGAAACUGUAGUAAAAGACAAUUUAGUCCGGCGGAAUAAAUCCGAAAGAGUGGAAUGAGUUAUACGCUCAUUUAGUCCAAAGAGUUAUGGACUUGCAAAAUUGCAGUUUUGAGGGAUACUUUUUAGGUCACAGUACGUUCACCUUAUUAAACCGAUUACUCAAAUAUAACUGACUAUAUAGUGGGGUUAAAAGUUGAUUAAACAUUAUUCAUACAUAAAGCAUCGAAUUUCCAACUUAUAAUGUUAUGUUUAAUGUUAAAUUAAAUUAUAUGAACUGCAAAGUCAAUAAAAUAAUUAAUUUAGUUACAUGAAAAUGGUAUUCCUAUGAAUAUUAUACAGGCCGCUAGCGACACCGUAACGAAAACUUUGACGGAUUAUUCAGACUAUGAUUCUGAGUUGAUAUCAAGUUGAAUUUUCAUCGCAAAAAUAUCGAAUCGAAAAUGAUUUGAACCACACAAAAUAGUUUACAUAAAUUUUGCGAUGGAAAAUUCCACUUGAUAUUAACUCAGAAUCAUGAGCUGAAUCAUUCCCCUGAGUGUUCAGUACUGUGUCACUAACACCCUGUAUAUUCACAAACCGCAUUUGUAUAAUAAUUUUAUUGAAGUAAGAACCAAUGAGCAAUUUGGUGGCGAGAGCGUCGAAUCGUAAAAUACGAUUGAUUAAGUUAGUAAAUUAUGAAAUUUUGGCCCAAAUGGAAAAUCAUAAAAUGAAAUGGUUAUUUGAAUUGGAAUCUAAAUGAUUUUAAAGCCACACAAAUUCACACUGUCAAUCAAUGGCAGUCGGUCCAUGAAUAUUUGGGCUAACCUCUAUAUGUUAGUACUAGGUUUCACAUAACAUAACAGUAUACGUUCACGACUAUAGCCCAAUGGGGUACCACACGUCACUGAGCUGUCUGUUAAGGUCCGUGUCCACUACACCAUAUACGAAGAACAUAAUAUACCAUCCCGACGACCCGAUUACUCUAGCCAUAGAGGCAGCCAAUCAGAUACCAAACACUUCAGGGCCCCGAUACCGACCCCGCCGGCGUGAUCGAUGAUUUCCCUCAACCAACGCUUAUCGCUAUCGACCCACUAGGGUCGAUUAAUUCUUUCAAAUAUUUUUCCUCUCAGACGACGCCCUGAGCCGAGGUUCGCGCCCAACUGGGCACCCUCAGGCCUGUUGUCUUAAACGUUGUACCGGGUGAGAGCCUUCAGCGCUCCCCAUUUGUCCGGCCAAGUAGUUAAUGC
This 5302-nucleotide unclassified non-coding RNA is filed under the name Pectinophora gossypiella (pink bollworm). RNAcentral's name for it is "uncharacterized LOC126369262". Lineage: Eukaryota; Metazoa; Arthropoda; Insecta; Lepidoptera; Gelechiidae. The record is from RNAcentral.